GACGAACGCUGGCGGCGUGCUUAACACAUGCAAGUCGAACGGAAAGGCCCUGCUUUUGUGGGGUGCUCGAGUGGCGAACGGGUGAGUAACACGUGAGUAACCUGCCCUUGACUUUGGGAUAACUUCAGGAAACUGGGGCUAAUACCGGAUAGGAGCUCCUGCUGCAUGGUGGGGGUUGGAAAGUUUCGGCGGUUGGGGAUGGACUCGCGGCUUAUCAGCUUGUUGGUGGGGUAGUGGCUUACCAAGGCUUUGACGGGUAGCCGGCCUGAGAGGGUGACCGGCCACAUUGGGACUGAGAUACGGCCCAGACUCCUACGGGAGGCAGCAGUGGGGAAUAUUGCACAAUGGGCGGAAGCCUGAUGCAGCAACGCCGCGUGCGGGAUGACGGCCUUCGGGUUGUAAACCGCUUUCGCCUGUGACGAGGCGUGAGUGACGGUAAUGGGUAAAGAAGCACCGGCUAACUACGUGCCAGCAGCCGCGGUGAUACGUAGGGUGCGAGCGUUGUCCGGAUUUAUUGGGCGUAAAGGGCUCGUAGGUGGUUGAUCGCGUCGGAAGUGUAAUCUUGGGGCUUAACCCUGAGCGUGCUUUCGAUACGGGUUGACUUGAGGAAGGUAGGGGAGAAUGGAAUUUCUGGUGGAGCGGUGGAAUGCGCAGAUAUCAGGAGGAACACCAGUGGCGAAGGCGGUUCUCUGGGCCUUUCCUGACGCUGAGGAGCGAAAGCGUGGGGAGCGAACAGGCUUAGAUACCCUGGUAGUCCACGCUGUAAACGGUGGGUACUAGGUGUGGGGUCCAUUCCACGGGUUCCGUGCCGUAGCUAACGCUUUAAGUACCCCGCCUGGGGAGUACGGCCGCAAGGCUAAAACUCAAAGGAAUUGACGGGGCCCCGCACAAGCGGCGGAGCAUGCGGAUUAAUUCGAUGCAACGCGUAGAACCUUACCUGGGUUUGACAUGGAUCGGGAGCGCUCAGAGAUGGGUGUGCCUCUUUUGGGGUCGGUUCACAGGUGGUGCAUGGCUGUCGUCAGCUCGUGUCGUGAGAUGUUGGGUUAAGUCCCGCAACGAGCGCAACCCUUGUUCACUGUUGCCAGCACGUUAUGGUGGGGACUCAGUGGAGACCGCCGGGGUCAACUCGGGGGAAGGUGGGGAUGACGUCAAGUCAUCAUGCCCCUUAUGUCCAGGGCUUCACGCAUGCUACAAUGGCUGGUACAGAGAGUGGCGAGCCUGUGAGGGUGAGCGAAUCUCGGAAAGCCGGUCUCAAUUCGGAUUGGGGUCUGCAACUCGACCUCAUGAAGUCGGAGUCGCUAGUAAUCGCAGAUCAGCAACGCUGCGGUGAAUACGUUCCCGGGGCU
Molecule: ribosomal RNA, 1346 nt
Filed under: uncultured bacterium
Lineage: Bacteria
Description: bacterial SSU rRNA
Rfam family: Bacterial small subunit ribosomal RNA
Source: RNAcentral